This 497-nucleotide ribosomal RNA is filed under the name uncultured bacterium. Its description in RNAcentral is "partial 16S ribosomal RNA". It matches the Rfam family "Bacterial small subunit ribosomal RNA", at positions 28 to 507 of the family's 1533-position model. The record is from RNAcentral.
GAUGAACGCUGGCGGCGUGCCUAAUACAUGCAAGUCGAGCGAACGGACGAGAAGCUUGCUUCUCUGAUGUUAGCGGCGGACGGGUGAGUAACACGUGGAUAACCUACCUAUAAGACUGGGAUAACUUCGGGAAACCGGAGCUAAUACCGGAUAAUAUUUUGAACCGCAUGGUUCAAAAGUGAAAGACGGUCUUGCUGUCACUUAUAGAUGGAUCCGCGCUGCAUUAGCUAGUUGGUAAGGUAACGGCUUACCAAGGCGACUAUGCAUAGCCGACGUGUGAGGGUGGUCGGCGACCCUGGAGGUGGGACGGGGACCAGGGUCCUAAGAGAGGCAGCAGACUGGAACCGUCGGCAAUGGGGGAGAACAUGACGGAGCAGGGCCAAGUGAGAGAUGAAGGUGCUGGGAUCGUGAAACUCUGUUAUGAGGGAAGAACAUAUGUGUAAGGAGCCGUGCACAGAUUGACGGUACCGAGUAAGAAAGCCACGGCUAACUACGUG